GACGAACGCUGGCGGCGUGCUUAACACAUGCAAGUCGAACGGUGAAGUAGAGCUUGCUCUAUGGAUCAGUGGCGAACGGGUGAGUAACACGUGGGCAACCUGCCCCAGACUCUGGGAUAACUCCUCGAAAGAGGGGCUAAUACCGGAUAUUUGCAUUGCAAGACAUCUUGUGAUGAAGAAAGAAUUUCGGUCUGGGAUGGGCCCGCGGCCUAUCAGCUUGUUGGUGAGGUAACGGCUCACCAAGGCGACGACGGGUAGCCGGCCUGAGAGGGCGACCGGCCACACUGGGACUGAGACACGGCCCAGACUCCUACGGGAGGCAGCAGUGGGGAAUAUUGGGCAAUGGGCGCAAGCCUGACCCAGCAACGCCGCGUGAGGGAUGAAGGUCCUCGGAUUGUAAACCUCUUUCAGCAGGGACGAAGCGAAAGUGACGGUACCUGCAGAAGAAGCACCGGCUAACUACGUGCCAGCCGCCGCAGUAA
RNAcentral lists this ribosomal RNA (482 nucleotides) under uncultured bacterium. RNAcentral's name for it is "partial 16S ribosomal RNA". It matches the Rfam family "Bacterial small subunit ribosomal RNA", at positions 28 to 523 of the family's 1533-position model. The record is from RNAcentral.